UACGUAGGAGGCAAGCGUUAUCCGGAAUGACUGGGCGUAAAGGGUGCGUAGGUGGUUCAGCAAGUUAGUAGAGUAACUCCGGGGCUCAACCUCGGCACUACUACUAAAACUGUUGGACUUGAGUGCAGGAGGGGCAACUGGAAUUCCUAGUGUAGCGGUGGAAUGCGUAGAUAUCGCGCAGAACCCCGAUUGCGAAGGCAGCGUACCGGCUCCACACUGACGCUGAGGCACGAAAGCGUGGGUAUCGAACAGG
Molecule: ribosomal RNA, 253 nt
Filed under: uncultured bacterium
Lineage: Bacteria
Description: partial 16S ribosomal RNA
Rfam family: Bacterial small subunit ribosomal RNA
Source: RNAcentral